GCAAGAUGUAGUCACAGAUGACCUUAUCACGAACUGGUUCACAGAAGUGAUGGGGUCCAGGGCCCAUAUGGCAAGGGUUUCUUGAAAGGAAUGAGUACCUAGCACUGUGCCACACAAGCUCAGUAAAUGUUUGCUGAAUAAAUGAAUCCUUGAAAUGUUAAACUGACAUCACAACAAGGAAGUAGACCAAAAAGAGGAAGACACAGGACCCAGGAGACAAAAAUUCAAACCUAAGAGACGGUUGUUAGGGUGGACCCCAAUCCAAUAUGACUGGCAUCUUUAUAAGAAGAUGAAAUUAGGACCCAAACAAAAUGAAGGUGUAACCUUGUGAGGACCCAGAAGAUGGCCAUCUUCAGUCCAAGGAGAGGGCCUAAGAAGAAACCAAGCCCGCCAACAUCUUGGCCUUGGGCUUCCAGCUUCCUGAACUGCAAGCACCAUUUGAGAUAUUUACUAAUUCUGAACAGAAAUUUUGGUAACUGUUCAGCGAAUCUUAAUGAGAAGUGUAAAGAAGAGAAAUAAUUUUGCUGAAGAGGCACAACAAAUUAGUAAAUUGGCAGAUCCAUUUCUUUUCUGCCUCAUAUGCCUA
Molecule: long non-coding RNA, 586 nt
Organism: Suricata suricatta (meerkat)
Lineage: Eukaryota; Metazoa; Chordata; Mammalia; Carnivora; Herpestidae
Exons: 3
Source: RefSeq, a predicted model, not a curated record